Molecule: long non-coding RNA, 552 nt
Organism: Cyprinus carpio (common carp)
Lineage: Eukaryota; Metazoa; Chordata; Actinopteri; Cypriniformes; Cyprinidae
Exons: 3
Source: RefSeq, a predicted model, not a curated record
UAAAAUAAAAAAUAAUUAAUUUAAAUCUUCAAAAGAUUUAAAAGUCAUAUGACACGCUAAAAGGCCCUCGUGUCGUCACCCUUAAAACCUGUCCUUUUCUGUGUGUGUAUUUUUAGGUUGUAUAACUCAGUGGUUUGACCAUGAUGACCCCAGUGAUGAAAAGGGAGACAGUGAGCUCUUGGCUGACCUUCUCAAUAUAUAUCCAGGACAAAUAUGUCCAAAUCCAAUCGAUAUAGAUGUAGAGCCAGUCUCCGGCAUACCAUCAAAUAAAACCUUCUUUUACAUUGUGAGAUAUAAUUCAACAACUGGGUUUGAGUGCAUAAAUUCAAACCAAAGAGGAGUAUGUGAUGAUUAUAAGGUGCGCUUCACCUGCCCAGAGGAAUGAUGUUCAACAUGUAGGACACCCUGGUUUGACCAAGGUAAUCCAAGUAAAAUAGGAGACUCUGAGACUCUGUCAUCAAUCAUGUUGACAUACCCACUACAGGUAUGUGCUCAGCCCAUUGCUAUUGAGGUCGCAACCACUAGUGGGAUCCCUGUACUGCCGGAUGCACG